This 253-nucleotide ribosomal RNA is filed under the name uncultured bacterium. Its description in RNAcentral is "partial 16S ribosomal RNA". It matches the Rfam family "Bacterial small subunit ribosomal RNA", at positions 524 to 776 of the family's 1533-position model. The record is from RNAcentral.
UACGGAGGAGGCAAGCGUUAUCCGGAAUGAUUGGGCGUAAAGCGUCCGCAGGUGGCAGUUCAAGUCUGCUGUCAAAGACCGGGGCUUAACUUCGGAAAGGCAGUGGAAACUGAACAGCUAGAGUAUGGUAGGGGUAGAGGGAAUUCCCGGUGUAGCGGUGAAAUGCGUAGAGAUCGGGAAGAACAUCGGUGGCGAAGGCGGCUUCCUGGACACCAACUGACGCUGAGACGCGAAAGCGUGGGGAGCAAACAGG